Molecule: long non-coding RNA, 711 nt
Filed under: Mytilus galloprovincialis (Mediterranean mussel)
Lineage: Eukaryota; Metazoa; Mollusca; Bivalvia; Mytilida; Mytilidae
Source: RNAcentral
CGAAGUCUUCGUAGUAUCAAUAUUAUAAUUCUUUUGUCAUGUUUUGUAGGAGAGAAGUCUUCUUAGUAUCAGUAUUAUAAUUCUUUUGUCAUGUUUUGUAGGAGAGAAGUCUUCGAAGUAUCAGUAUUGUAGUUCUUUUGUCGUUUUUUGUAGGAGAGAAGCCAUCGUAGUAUCAGUAUUGUAAUUCUUUUGUCAUGUUUUGUGGGAGCGAAGUCUUCGUAGUAUGAAUAUUAUAAUUCUUUUGUCAUGUUUUGUAGGAGAGAAGUCGUCGUAGUAUCAGUAUUAUAAUUCUUUUGUCAUGUUUUGUAGGAGAGAAGUCUUCGUAGUAUCAGUAUUGUAAUUCUUUUGUCAUGUUUUAUGGGAGAGAAGUCUCCUUAGUAUCAAUAUUGUAGUUCUUUUGUCGUUUUUUGUAGGAGCGAAGUCUUCGUAGUAUCAAUAUUAUAAUUCUUUUGUCAUGUUUUGUAGGAGAGAAGUCUUCGUAGUAUAAAUAUUGUAGUUCUUUUGUCAUGUUUUGUGGGAGCGAAGUCUUCGUAGUAUGAAUAUUAUAAUUCUUUUGUCAUGUUUUGUGGGAGAGAAGUCCUCGUAGUAUCAGUAUUAUAAUUCUUUUGUCAUGUUUUGUAGGAGAGAAGUCUUCGUAGUAUCAGUAUUGUAAUUCUUUUGUCAUGUUUUAUGGGAGAGAAGUCUCCUUAGUAUCAAUAUUGUAGUUCUUUU